Dromaius novaehollandiae (emu) is the source of this 329-nucleotide long non-coding RNA. RefSeq lists it as uncharacterized. Lineage: Eukaryota; Metazoa; Chordata; Aves; Casuariiformes; Dromaiidae. The record is from RefSeq and is a predicted model, not a curated record. The transcript is spliced from 3 exons.
GGGGGAGCGGUGCCGUUACCUUGUUAACGGCCGCGUGCUCCCGCAGCGCCAGGUCCCAGAAGCGGCAGCCCACCUGGUUCCCGCACUGGCCCACUGUAAAGGGGGAGAGAGGCACAGGCUAUUGUUCGUACUCUUGAUCUCUCAGGAAGAAGAAAGAUUCAUCAGAACCUUCAACUAUGAGAGAGCUCUACAGUUCUUUACAGAAAUAAGAGGUACAAAACAAAUCUGUCUGGAGAUGCUGCCAGUUGUGGGUUGUCUUUCUGAAGCUUUAUGUACAAGCUCAUGGAAGUGAAAGACUUCAGUUCUUCCAGGUUGAUCUUUGGAUUGAC